CCGAACUACGAAUAAUGAAUGGUCCAGGGUAGGCAAAAACUAAUAGCUCUUUUAUGAUUAUGUGAUAGGUGGUGCAUGGCCGUUCUUAGUUCGUGGAGUGAUCUGUCUGCUUAAUUGCGUUUCAAAACAACUGAUACACAGAGUCUUGGCACAGUUCAGUUUAAUGGCGUCGAGUAUCUUUGAUUUCGACAGUAGUCCAACUCGGUUCGCCAGGGUCUCUUUUGAACGCAACGGACGUGAUCGCAACCCUUUGUUGAGUGAUGUCAGCACUCUACGUCUAUCCUAGCUCGUUGAUCGCAAGUGAGAGUUGGGUGGGCAAACUCAGGGGACAGCUUCAACUAUUCUUCUUCAAACUAGAGGAAGGUUGCGGCAAUAACAGGUCUGUGAUGCCCUCAGAUGUUCUAGGCUGCACACGUGCUACAUUGAUCAGCACAAUGCGAUACAUUUCGAAAGGAAACAUCGGUUUUAAGGUAACGUCGAUUGCCUACCGAUAGCACCUGGUCCUCAGUGGACUGGGCAAUCUCUUCUAAAUGCUGGUAAGGUACCCACACUCGAGCUAUUUAAUCACACGCGGGAGGCACACACGGUUCAAAUCUCAUUUGCGACUGUUGCCGCCAUGACGUAUGCAACUUGUCAACUCUUCGUGGGGAUCGUCGAUUGCAACUAUUCGACUCGCCACAACUAGGAAUGCCUCGUACGGGUCUUGGUUCACCAUACCGCCCGGAAUACGUCCCUGCCCUUUGUAC
Molecule: ribosomal RNA, 746 nt
Filed under: Orbulina universa
Lineage: Eukaryota; Foraminifera; Rotaliida; Globigerinidae
Description: SSU rRNA
Rfam family: Eukaryotic small subunit ribosomal RNA
Source: RNAcentral